ACCAGCUCUCCCUGCCAGCAGGGAGCGGGUUGGUAACGUGGUCUUAUUUACAGACACAUUUGUAAAACAAGAGUGUCCAGAAGAGGGCCACGCAGUUGAUGAAGGGUUUGGAGGAGAAGCCGUAUGAGGAGCAGAUAUCCUGUCUCUGCAAGCUGACAGAGUACAUUUGGAGUCUGGCAGCUACUUCACAGAAAAAAAGACACACUACAAAAGAUGCAGAAUUAAAACAGGUCACGGAAAAGACUAGAUCUCAUCGCUGAUAGUAAGUAUUGCACAGAGUGGAGACUAUGAUAAGAGCUUCAAAAUAAACUGGGAAGUGAUGGUGAUCACUUCAACUUUCUCC
Long non-coding RNA from Columba livia (rock pigeon), 343 nucleotides. RefSeq lists it as uncharacterized. The transcript has 3 exons. The record is from RefSeq and is a predicted model, not a curated record. Lineage: Eukaryota; Metazoa; Chordata; Aves; Columbiformes; Columbidae.